Molecule: ribosomal RNA, 497 nt
Filed under: uncultured bacterium
Lineage: Bacteria
Description: partial 16S ribosomal RNA
Rfam family: Bacterial small subunit ribosomal RNA
Source: RNAcentral
GAUGAACGCUGGCGGCGUGCCUAAUACAUGCAAGUCGAGCGAACGGACGAGAAGCUUGCUUUUCUGAUGUUAGCGGCGGACGGGUGAGUAACACGUGGAUAACCUACCUAUAAGACUGGGAUAACUUCGGGAAACCGGAGCUAAUACCGGAUAAUAUUUUGAACCGCAUGGUUCAAAAGUGAAAGACGGUCUUGCUGUCACUUAUAGAUGGAUCCGCGCUGCAUUAGCUAGUUGGUAAGGUAACGGCUUACCAAGGCAACGAUGCAUAGCCGACCUGAGAGGGUGAUCGGCCACACUGGAACUGAGACACGGUCCAGGCGCCUACGGGAGGCAGCAGUAGGGAAUCUUCCGCAAUGGGCGAAAGCCUGACGGAGCAACGCCGCGUGAGUGAUGAAGGUCUUCGGAUCGUAAAACUCUGUUAUUAGGGAAGAACAUAUGUGUAAGUAACUGUGCACAUCUUGACGGUACCUAAUCAGAAAGCCACGGCUAACUACGUG